Molecule: ribosomal RNA, 451 nt
Filed under: uncultured bacterium
Lineage: Bacteria
Description: bacterial SSU rRNA
Rfam family: Bacterial small subunit ribosomal RNA
Source: RNAcentral
GAUGAACGCUAGCGGGAGGCCUAGUACAUGCAAGUCGAGCGGUCAGCAAUGAUAGCGGCAGACGGGUGCGUAACGCGUAUGAAACUUGCCCUACACAGGAGGAUAGCCUUGGGAAACUGAGAGUAACCCUCCAUAGUCUUAUAAUGCCGCAUGGUGAUAUAAGUAAAAACUUCGGUGGUGUAGGAUAGUCGUGCGUCCGAUUAGCUAGUUGGUGAGGUAAUGGCUCACCAAGGCGACGAUCGGUAGCUGGUCUGAGAGGAUGAUCAGCCACACGGGCACUGAGACACGGGCCCGACUCCUACGGGAGGCAGCAGUAAGGAAUAUUGGACAAUGGACGGAAGUCUGAUCCAGCCAUCCCGCAUGGAGGAAUAAGGCCCUAUGGGUUGUAAACUCCUUUAGCAGGGGAAUAAAAGGUCAUUUAUGAUCAAUUGAAGGUACCCUGAGAAUAAGC